Dermochelys coriacea (leatherback sea turtle) is the source of this 9264-nucleotide long non-coding RNA. RefSeq lists it as uncharacterized. The transcript is spliced from 2 exons. The record is from RefSeq and is a predicted model, not a curated record. Lineage: Eukaryota; Metazoa; Chordata; Testudines; Dermochelyidae.
CCGGAUUGUCCCGCCCGCCAGGCCCGUGCCGCCUCCGGGUACCCCCUUUGCGUCCCCCCCUCCCCCGCCCAGGCCGCCUCCAGAUACCUCCUGUCUCCUCCCACAUGACCCCCCCCCGUCUUUUCCUGCCACCCUGUCAGUAACAGCCCAUCCCCCCCCGUCCUCAUACCCCGUCACCCCCCUCACCUACCCUCCUCAGCCCCCCUUCCCCUCGUUACCGUGUAUCCCCCCACCACGGCUCCUCUGCCUUUAUACCCUCCCCUCCCCCCACCUCAGUGUCCCCGGGCCCCCUCCCAUCUCCGAAACAGGACUGAAUCCUAGACUGCUCUUCAUCUGUUUCCCAGAUGUAGUCCUGCGUUUCUCUGCCGUUGCUCAGUGGUGCUGUUCCGUGGUGGUUAUUUUGCAGGCUUGCAGGGUUGUGGUGUGUUGGUUGUGUGUUGGUUUUUUUUUUUUUUUUUUUUUUUUUGCUUUGGUGCAGCAGCGUUUGCUUUUCAUGUGCAGACCCGGAAGGCUACAAUGUACGUCGCCCGUGGCAGACUUUAUUGCUCAGAGUUUGGAAAUCUUACAGUAACUGUGAUCUAUAUGUAUAUUUUUGGAUGGUGUAAGAAGGUUUGCAGUAUAUCACGGUGUGCAUGAAGGGGUUGUCUUUUUAAAAUCAUAGCGAUUUAAAUUUCCCUUUUACUGCCGUAAAAUUAAUCCAGACAUAUGGUAUCCUAUGCUGUAGUAUUUUACGUCGACACUAGGGGUAUGUCCUGCUUACCACUCGUGCCAAGAAAUCAACGCCCUUUUUAAUAAACAUUUAUUUUAUGCUAAAUUAUCCGAUACCUCUGGCUGCAGGGUGACUUCUGUCAAAGUUUCAGUUUUGGAAUUGGGAAAUGUAUACAAUUGGAGCUAUUCAUUCCCAGCUCUUCUUCCCUUAUGUGCAAAACCAGCUGUUUAUCACCAUUGCAUGUUAAGUCUAGCAGUGUGUGUGAACCAAAAAUGGAUUUCCCUUUGUUUUUAUUUUUAAAAAACGCAAUUGCCAAUUUUCCUUUAUACUGUACAGCAAAGCUAUGGUAGAAUAUUAUGCUGCAUGUUUCGACUGAUCUUGUAAUUGUGCCUUUGCCUUCUGUUAGAAAUAUUGUGUUAGGGAAACAUUUUGAAAUAUUCAGAGGCUUGCUUUGUUUUGAAUUGUGGUUCUGGAAAGCUACUGCCAAACAUUUGAAAUACAUAGGCAACACUAAGGCUAUCAAAUGGUUAUCCCUUCCCUGUUCUGAAAAAGUGGUUGUAAAAUCAGGACUUAAAAACAAAACAAACCUUUACUAUUUGAAGCCAUGUUACCACUGCAGUGCUUCCAGUUGUAUGUACAUCUAAUAACUGAACGAUAUGUAGCUUUCAUUACUUUAUAAUUACAUUAAUGCAGUCAUUAGCCAAGGUUAUAUGAGAAGAAUUUCUUGAAGGGUUCUCUGAUGCUUAUUAAUGUGCACAAAUUGCAAGAAAGAGUUCAUCAACCGUCCGAUGUAUUUUUGUGUGUCUGUGAAAGGUCUUUAUACUCACCCUAAUUUCUCACUGCCUUCUGAGAAACUUUUGCUAGCAUAGUCAUAUUGGGUGAAGGUGUCUUUUUUACAACAUUUCUAUACCAGCAAAAACCUUAGUGUAUACACAGCUCUACUGUUAAAAAUACUUUUGCUGGUAUAGUUUAUUUUGCUGGGGGAACUAAUAUAAUACACUGUACUGGGCAAAAGCAUUUUUAUUUAUUUAUUGAUUGCCAGAAUAAGCUGCGUCUACACUAGCAGUCCCUGCAAACCUUUUCUGGUGUAGACCUGACUUUUAAGUCUGAAAUUAGGAUAAAAUUUAAGAAUAGAUUAAUUUGAGAAAUUAAGAUCAGCAUAAUUUAAGCUGCCUUUCAUUUUUAGGAAAAAUUGAAUAUACUUUGUUAUAAUUUGGAUGCUUUCACUGCAAGAGACCAGUCUCAAUGUAUAUAAACUAAGAUCUUAUCUUAUUUUUCAUUUCUAACUUUUACUUUUUUGUUUUGUAAUAGAAUGAUGGUUUUCGGAGUUUGAAGUAACAUUUCUCUUGUGUUCCUGCAGGACCAAAGUACUGGCAGUUAUAGUAAACGAGCUGAGAGAUUAUGCCUACCUUUACUCUGGAGGUGGUGUGUCUACCAUAGACCAUCACUUGAAUAUGCUGGUUAGCAAUAGAAGAGAAUCAAUCGGGAGGGGGGUCCUAGAGUACAUACUGUGAAAAAUGGUAAGUUUAAGGUUAUUUUGCUUAAUAACUUAGACUUUUGUGUAAGGCAUUUGCACUUUUUAUCAAAGGAUUCUUACUUUGAAGAUUACAUUUAAAGGGCAUAUUUUCUGAGUUUUGUGACUUGAAAUUAAAUUUUGCAAAGAAAAGAAAAUGAGGAUUAUGCUCUUUACAUCAUGAUGUCCAAAGAAGGUAUGAAGACUUGAUAUUAAAAGAAAAAAAAGUCAUUUUUUUUAUAUUAAAAAUAUGGGUCCUAUCUAGGCUGGAACAUUUUAAUGACUGUAGAGCUAACAAAAUGGUAUCAUCACAAAACCGAGGAGAGUAAAAGCUGAGCAAUUGCGGGAGAGGGAUUUUAAGUCAGUGUUUGAAACUGUUAACUUUUAACACUUAGUUAACUUCGAUGGCUGAUAAACAUUUUUAAGUCUGUGAUUUAAAACUCUCCUUCAGUUAAGGUGUUAGCAGGCACAGUAAACAUCAGACUUCCCAUAAGUUCUGCGGCAAAAUCAGGGAAAGACAGACUUGUCACUCCAGAUAUUUCUAAGGCUCAACGGGGAGCUAUUCAAAUCAUGGAAGCUUUAAAGGAGUAUUUUGACCAUGAACCACAGUAAUGCAUGUUUCUGUAAUGCAUUGAGCCAAGCAUUGUUUUCUUGCAUUGUGGUAUGAACCUUCUCAUGAUCGCUGUGUGUGCAGUAAUGUAACAGUGCAAAUGCACCUAUUGGCAUUGUCGACUUAAGUUGCAUCAAUGUUCAUCCACCACUGUAAUUAAACUGCAGUUGCAUGUCCACACAAUGCUCGUUGUGAUGGUGGAGUGUGUCCACAGUAGUUGCUCUUGCAUUGACAGAGAGCAGUAUGCCGUGGGUAGCUAUCCCACUGUGCAACUUGCAACCAUCUGCUACUGGAUGUUCUGGGAAAGGGUUUGCAGUGUCUCACGGGGGCAGGCUGAGCGUCCCAUGAUGCAGUUUUCUCCCUCCCCUCAAUCCAUGGGUUUCCUAGUACAUUUCACGCCACUUGUCAACAGAUCCUGUAAACACACGCCUGCCAUCUGUCAGAAAGCAUGGAGCCUGCAGUGCUGUCCAGUAUUUUGGUGAGCAUUAUGAACGCAAUGCGGCAGUGACUCUGAUGAUGACACCAUGGUAUCUGCCCUGUUGUGUGUGCCAUGGACAGAAACAAUUCAAGAUUGCUGUUGGCAUUCAUGGAGGAGCUGCACAUAGUGCACUGUUGGUUCUGGGCCCAAGAAACAAGCAUUGAGUGAUAAGAUCGCAUUGUUAUGCAGGUAUGGGAUGACGAGCAGUGGCUGCAGAACUUUUGGAUGCGUAAAGCCACCUUCCUGGAAGUGUGUGCAGAGCUCACCCCUGCUCCCUAUCACAAGGACACCAAAAUGAGAGCUGCCCUAACGGUGGAGAAGCGACUGGCAAUUGCAGUGCGGAAGCUGGCAAUGCCAGGCUGCUACUGACAAGUUACGAAUCAGUUUAGAGUGGGGAAGUCCACCAUGGGAGUUGCAGUGAUGCAAAUUUGCACGGCCAUUAAUCGCCUCCUGCUAUGAAGGACUGACACUCUGGGCAGUGUGUGUGAAAUAUUGAAUGGGUUUGAGGCAACGAGUUUCACUAACUGCAGAGGGGCAAUAGAUAGUCUGGGGCCAAAAUGGUGAUAUGUGUGCUAUCUUUUGAUGGAGUACAUCAACAGAAAGGGCUACUUUUCUAUGGUAUUGCAAGUGCUGGUAUAUCAUCGGGGUUGUUUCAUUGAUAUCAACACGUGCUGGUCAGGGAAGGUGCAUAACACAUGCAUCUUCGGGAACAUUGGACUGUACAGAAAGUUGCACGCAGGGACUUUCUUUCCAGACCAGAAGAUUUCCAUUGUAGAUGUUGAAAUGCCAGUAGUGAUUCUGGGAGAUUCAGCCUACGCCUUGCUCCCAUGGCUCAGGAAGUCUUACAUCAGCAACUUUGGCUGCAGCAAUGAGUGCUUCAACAACAGGCUCAGCAGGUACAGAAUGACUGUUGAAUGUGUCUUUGGCUGCUUAAAAGGUUGCUGGUGCUGCCUCUUUGGCAGGUUAGACCUCAGUAAGGAAAAUAUUCCCAUGGUCAUAGCAACCUACAUUAUGAAGCUAAGGAGGGGAAGCUUCUGUAGGGGUGGAGUGUUGAGGUGGAUCAGCUGGCUGCUGCUUUUGAGCAUCCGAUACCAGGGCUAUUAUAGGGGCUCAAUGUGGAGCUGGUUGAAUCAGGAAGGCUUUGAAGGAGUAUUUUGAUAAUGAGCCACAGUUAUGUAUGUUUCUGUAAUGCAUUGAGCCAGGCAUUGUAUUCUUGCACUGUAGUAUGAACCUUGUAAUGAUUACUAUGCAUAUAAGAAUGCAACAAAGCAAAUGCACCUUUUGGCAUUGUCUUAGAAUUUUAGCAGCAACCACCAUAUGUAAAAGACAAAUAAAGAUUCAUUUACUUUCUAUAAGUAAGUUUUUAUUCAACAGUCAUGCAAACAUUCCUGUCUUCUGGAAGGAACAUGAAAAUUGAUCACAUUUGCCAAUGAGGCACUCACAGCUGGGUGUAUGUCCAGCUGUCAUUGUGAAACAUCCCUGGGGGGUGGAGUGCCUGGAGUACUGGAACGACCCUGGAAUAUGCGAGGGAUGUGUGGGGAGAGCUUGGGAAAGUUCUGCAUGGACUGCAGGGGAAGGUGAGUAUGGAUGUGUUCCUCCUGAAGUUCAGUCAGGGACAUCAAUAUGUCAGCUCCCUGAGCCACUUUAUCGUCUGCUCCUGCCUGUGUUUCCUAUCCUCACUAUCCAUCCGCAGUUUGCCUUUGAUAGCCUCUCUCCAUACUCUCUACUUGCAAUAUGAAGCACCAGAGGAUUGCAGCACUUCCUGGAACAUGUCUUUCUUACUACUCUUGUUUCGUCUCCUUAUGAGCCUGAGUCACUCAGCUGGUGUGCAGGAGGAGAUCCUCAAGGGCAUGUCGGCAGAUGGUAAAGAAACAAUAGACAGAGGCAUUAUUGUGAGUCCAGUCACACUCUUGAUCCAAACAAGUUAGCAAUACAGCUUUCUCACUUUCCCUUGGCAGGCAUACAUCACGGUGGGAGCCCCAGCCCUGGUGAGUUUGGCCUGGACGGUAGGGGGUUUCAGUGGGGUAUCGCUACAAGCACAUAGGGCUACUAUUCUGAAUACUGGCACUGUUUUCCACAGGCAGGGGUGAUAGCUGAUAUCUUGCUCCUGAGCGUAACCGAGGAUGCAAGGGUGCAGCUUCUGCAUGUGUGUGGCAGUAGACUGGGUCUGUAUGAUGCUCACCAUGUGCUAUGGUGCCUGCAGAAGUAGUUGCCGAUUGGUGCGGCAAAGUUUCCUACAGCGAUGGAAAAAACAAAGCAAUCCUCCCAAGAAACCUUUGGCAGAGGAUUGCAGAUUACUUCCAGGAAAGUUUCUUACAGAUCUGUGUGAAGGAUUCCCAGAACAUGCCGGUGUGCAUAAAGAAAUGUUUCCGCAGGGCCUCCUCUGCCUAGCUGCACAGGGGAAUGAGAAGCAGAUACAAUCUUUACCUAUGCUGGUUAUUUCAUUCCCUCUUCUACCCUGAUUCAAAAACAGAGCAUUACCACAUGUGUCCCUGCAGUAUGGAAGUACAAUGAAAACUUACCAGAGCUUCCCUCUCCUGCAUCAGGUGUGCCCAAGUCGGAGUGCUGGGACUAGCUAUAUCCUUCCAGAGUCAAAAAGGGUUCCUGGGUUGUCACACAACUGGAUAUCCCUGUUACCUGUCCCCCAUCCUCCUCCAAUUCCACAUCCUCAUCCACCACGUCGUUCUUGGGUUCACUUGGCUGGCCACUGUCUCCGGACCCCCCUGAACUAUCCACAGGACUUGUGGAGGUGGGGUCACUGCCAAGGAUGGUGUGAAGCUUCAUAUAGAAGUAGCAUAUCUUUGGUGCCACGCAAGAGCGACUGUUGGCCUGCCUUGUCUUUUGGUAUGCCUGUCUCAGCUCCUUGAUUUUUUUUGCACAGUACUGCUGCAUGUCCCUAUCCGUAUCCCUUCUCCUCCAUGCCAUAAGUAGUUGGCCUGUAGAUAUCAAAGUUCCGGCAGUUGGAGCGGAGCUGUGACUGCACAGCCUCCUCUCCUCCACAGACCCAACAGAUCCACCACCUCCGGUGUACUCCAGGCAUUUGCUGCGGGGAGCCAGCAUGGUCAGUUGAGCAGAUAUGUGAGCUCUCCAUGCUGAGCAAACAGGGAGAGCGAUUUCAAAAAUUCCUACAGCUUUAAAAAAGCAGGAGUGCAUACCUGUGUACAAGGCUCCAAGGCAGGAGAGUUCAAACCAAUGACCAGAGCAGUCAUGAUAGGCAUUUUGGGACACCACCUGGAGGCCACUUAAGGCAGCAUAAACAAUGCAGUGUCUACGCUGACACUGCGUCCCUCUUACUAUGGUGCCCUAAGACGCUAUGCAUCUCGAUGAGGUGGUUUUAUUAUGUUGGUGUAACAGGAGAGUUAAAUUGGUGGGAGGAGCAUUGCAGUGCAUACACUUGCAUAGUUAGGUCCAUGACCUAAGCUGCCUUAUGUUGACUUAACUUUGUAAUGUAGACAAGCUGUUGGAGUAAAAAAAAAAAAAAAAAGGGGGGGGUGUGCAGAAAAAUAGCUACUUGUAAUUCCUUCUCCUCACUCCUGCUUUUCUAGUCUUGAUAUAUCAUAAAGAAUCUUACAAAAAGGGUUUAGGGGAGACAUGUCCAGUUGUUUAAAAAUCCUUUGCAGGUCACCUUCAAUUUAUGUAGUGCAAAUUUUAAAAGGAACCAACUUGUAAAGAUGAAAGUUUUGUAGCUUCCAUCUAACUUCAGACUUAAUUGGAUGUUUGAGCAACACUUGUUUGGAAGGAUUGUAGAAAUGAGAGGGUUUUUUUGUUGUAUGCUUUUUAUUCAAAGGCUUAUUUAUAUUAUGGUGACUAGCGUCCAUGAAGCGCAGGAUUUUGUAACUCUGACGUGAUUCACUAUUAGUAAGUAAUUUUUUUCCUGUGGUUUCCUCCUAUGAUUUGUUGAGUGUUGCUAAAGAAAACAGUAAGAGAAUAGUGAGUUAAUGCAGAUAUUAAGUAUAGGUGAUAGGCAAGCUUUUGAUCCAUUAAUCAAAGUGCUUACAGGUUUCCUUUCCAGUGAAAUAAAGCAAAACUUUUACCCACAGUUAAAUUAUUAUUAUUUUUUUUUAAAGCACUGUCCACAAUUCUAAUUUCAGGUUGGGGAGUCUUGCAUUCUUGAUUCUCCUGACCCCUUUCUCUCCUUGACCCUACUUCUUGUGAUCCCAUUUUGUGAAUUUCUCGUGUAGGAGAGUUAGCAUAAUUGAUCUCUAUCAUCACGCUAUUCUUUGUUGUUUAGUAACCAGUUCACUUAGUGGUAUGCAUCCCCAUUUUUCCACUCUUUCUCUUGUUGGUUUAUUCGCAUUCCCGCCCCCCACGCCUAUUUGUUUCUGUGCAUUAGCUCUCCCCACAGAAAGACCCCAGAAGCAGAGGUGGUUGAUUGUGCUUUGCUUCCUACGCACUAAUCCUUCCUCAAAAGCAUCAGCAGGCACAGAGAAAGCAUUACUGUGCAUGAAGCAUAGCCAUGAUCAAACUCCUUUGCUUUUGGAGGAGUUCUGGGGGUGGAAGAAAAGAUUGAAAUUAAGGUUGAGGGAUACACUAAGGCAGAGAUCUAUAUGUUAACUAAAAGGAGAGAGGGAAAUAGAAGUGCUGCUGCUCAUUGAAUGUAUAGCUGAAAAAGUUCAAGCAAAAUUUCUUGAUGAAACAAAUGUACUGUAUUAAAUGUGGAUUCUUUUCCAUCCUUACACCUGUAUCAUCAAGAAGUAUUUUAGUAAAUAUCACAAAAAGAUUUGUAUGGAGUAUAGUUGUAGCUGUGUUGGUCCCAGGAGAUAUUACUUUACCUACCUUUUCUCUCAAAAAGGUUUGACAUUUAUAUCUCUGGAAUUUGAGAGAUCUGAUGUACUAGACUUAACAGCUCUAUUUCUUUUCCAACUACCAUACAAGCUAAUCUCACAACACUCCUCUCAGUUUUGUAAAAAUUUCCUCAUUUUAUAAAUGAGGAAACUGAGGCAGAGAGCUAAGUGACUUCUCCAACUACUUAGAAAUAACUGUUGAUAUGUUGAGAUGCAUUCCUAGCUCUGGGGGGAAAAUAGCAAUGCUAAACCAAAUGGCCCAGUAAAAAUUUGAGGUCUCAGAAUUUACAAAUCAUGAGGGCUAAAAAUACAACUUUUGUACCAUUGGAAACCUGUUGUUCUCUGCUUUCCAGUGGCACCAGACAUGUGACAGGGUGUCAAACUUUAAAAUAAUAUAUUUCAUACUUCAUUUUUUUUCAUUUUACACCCAACAUGGAUACCACAUAAAGUGGCCACUUUCUUGAAAGACAAGAUAUAGAAACUAGUGUUUUACAUUGUGUGAAAGCAAUUUUGUAUCCAAGUUGCCAGUAACCUAAAGAAAUAACUCUGGCAGUGCAAGAGGUCUGUUUUAAAAAAACAACAACAAAAAACAAAAACACAUGUGAGGAAGAAGCAGAGCUAGAUGAAAGCCAAAAUAUGUAAAUUUAAGGUCUGAUGUCUUGUGACCGCCCAUAGCUAGGUAUACUUCAGUUGGACCAGUGACCUUUACUGUUGUGGACCUGGAACGAUGAUUAGAGAAUUUAAAUUCUUUCUGUCAUAGCAGGAUUAGAUUUCAUGAUGUCAUGUCUUCCAGUCUUGCACUUGGAUCACUUGGUCACACCAUAUAUCAUAGAGAAUUUAUGAAUUAUUUUGGUCACCAGAAGAAAUAGAUAUGCAUGAUAGCAAUAGAAAUACUGAAUAUCAAGGCAAAUUUAACUGACAAAAAUGUAUUUGAGCUAAAGUGCAAAUAUUGUACCUUUAUUCUUACCAAAGUCUGUUAACAUGCAUAAUUUCCUAAUGGGACUAAAUUUACUUUAUUCUGUGUGACGAAGUGGAAACAAACAUUUUUGUAGAUUACAGCCAAAAGUGUCUUCAUGAACAAAUCAAUAUUACAUUCUAGGCAUGGGCUGUCUGGGAGUUCUUGAUGAAGAUACAGGGCUAAAAUACGUUUAAUAGGAAUGGAAAAAGCCA